UCGCGGCUUAUCACCGGCAGUCCCCUUAGAGUGCCCAACUGAAUGAUGGCAACUAAGGGCGAGGGUUGCGCUCGUUGCGGGACUUAACCCAACAUCUCACGACACGAGCUGACGACAGCCAUGCACCACCUAUCGCAGGCCCUUGCGGACACCACAUCUCUGUGGCUUUUCCUGCGUAGUUCAACCCAGGUAAGGUUCUUCGCGUUGCAUCGAAUUAAUCCACAUAAUCCACCGCUUGUGCGGGUCCCCGUCAAUUCCUUUGAGUUUUAACCUUGCGGCCGUACUCCCCAGGCGGUCAACUUCACGCGUUAGCUUCGUUACCAAGGAAUUGCUUCCCCGACAACCAGUUGACAUAGUUUACGGCGUGGACUAC
This 373-nucleotide unclassified non-coding RNA is filed under the name uncultured Gammaproteobacteria bacterium. RNAcentral describes it as "contains 16S-23S intergenic spacer region". The record is from RNAcentral. Lineage: Bacteria; Pseudomonadati; Pseudomonadota; Gammaproteobacteria.